AUCGAUAUUAAACUCUAUGUAAUAGAGUCUAAUUGGUUCAUGAGAUAUGGGUAUGAGAUCUGGGUAUUCGUUCAUGGGAUUUGGGUAUUGGUUUAUGGGAUAUGGGUAUUAGGUUGGAUGUAUGGUUCAUGGGAUUUGGUCCAUGAGGUUUGGUGUAUGGUUUGUGGGGUUUGGUCCAUGAGGUUUAGUUGUGGUUCAUGGGAUUUGGUCCAUGAGAUUUGAUUAUGGUUCAUGGAUUUGGUCUAUGAGAUUUGGUUGGUUCAUGGGAUUUGGUCCAUGAGAUUUGGUUUAUGGUUCAUAGGAUUUGGUCCAUGAGGUUUGGUUUAUGGUUCAUGGGAUUUGGUCCAUGAGAUUUGGUUUAUGGUUCAUGGGAUUUGGUCCAUGAGGUUUGGUUUAUGGUUCAUGGGAUUUGGUCCAUGAGAUUUGGUUUUGGUUCAUGGGAUAUGGUCCAUGAAGUUUAGUUGUGGCUCAUGGGAUUUGGUCCAUGAGGUUUGGUUUUGGUUCAUGGGAUUUGGUCCAUGAGAUUUGAUUUAUGGUUCAUGGGAUUUGGUCCAUGAGAUUUGGUUUUGGUUCAUGGGAUAUGGUCCAUGAGGUUUGAUUAUGAUUCAUGGGAUUUGGUCCAUGAGAUUUGGUUGGUUCAUGGGAUUUGGUCCAUGAGGUUUGGUUUUGGUUCAUGGGAUUUGGUCCAUGAGGUUUGAUUUUGGUUCAUGGAAUUUGGUCCAUAAGGUAUGGUUUUGGUUCAUGGGAUUUGGUCCAUGAGGUUUGGUUUUGGUUCAUGGGAUUUGGUCCAUGAGGUUUGGUUUUGGUUCAUGGGAUUUGGUCCAUGAGGUUUGGUUUUGGUUCAUGGGAUUUGGUCCAUGAGAUUUGGUUUUGGCUCAUGGGAUUUGGUCCAUGAGAUUUGGUUUUGGUUCAUGGGAUUUGGUCCAUCAGGUUUGGUUUUGGUUCAUGGAAUUUGGUACAUGAGGUUUGGUUUUGGCUUAUGGGAUUUGGUCCAUGAGAUUUGGUUUAUGGUUCAUGGGAUUUGGUCCAUGAGAUUUGGUUUUGGUUCAUGGGAUAUGGUCCAUGAAGUUUAGUUGUGGCUCAUGGGAUUUGGUCAAUGAGGUUUGGUUUUGGUUCAUGGGAUUUGGUCCAUGAGAUUUGGUUUAUGGUUCAUGGGAUUUGGUCCAUGAGAUUUGGUUUUGGUUCAUGGGAUAUGGUCCAUGAGGUUUGAUUAUGGUUCAUGGGAUUUAGUCCAUGAGAUUUGGUUUUGGUUCAUGGAAUUUGCUCUAUGAGGUUUGGUUUUGGUUCAUGGGAUUUGGUCCAUGAGGUUUGGUUUUGGUUCAUGGGAUUUGGUCCAUGAGGUUUGGUUUUGGUUCAUGGAAUUUGGUCCAUGAGGUUUGAUUUUGGUUCAUGGGAUUUGGUCUAUGAGGUUUGGUUUUUGUUAAUGGGAUUUGGUCCAUGAGAUUUGGUUCAUGACUCAUGAGGUUGAGUAUGUGGAUCGGGUUCAUGAGCUUGGAUAUGGUGUAUGAGGUUUGGNAUUUUAUUUAUAGACUUGGUUUGGGUUAGGUUUGGAUUCUAUUUGUGGAAUGGGUUUGGGUUCUUUAUGUGGACUUGGUUUGGAUUAGGUUUGGAUGUGGACUUGAUUUGGGUUUGGGUUUUGAUUUGAUUUGGGUUUUGCGUUUCGAUUUAUUUGUAGACUGUAUUUGGUUUUGGUUUGGUUUGGGUUCGGAUUUUAUUUCGGGUUCGAGGAAAUCCACUUUUGAUUUUUGCAAUUUGGUUCGGAUCUGAAGAAAUCCUCUUUUGAUUUUGGUUUGAUUUGGGGUCCGAAGAAAUCUCCAUUUUGAUUUCCCCGUUUGAUUUCGAUUUGAAUUUGAUUUUCAAAUUUGAUUUGGGGUCUAAAGAAAUCCCCGUUUGAUUCUCCAAUUGGAUUUGAUUUGGGGUCCGAAGAAAUCCCCGUUUGAUUCUCCAAUUUGGAUUUGAUUUUCCAAUUUGGAUUUGAUUUUCCAAUUUGAUUUGAUUUGGGUCCGAAGAAAUUCCCGUUCGAUUCUCCAAUUUGGAUUUAAUUUUUCAAUUUGAUUUGGGGUCCGAAGAAAUU
RNAcentral lists this long non-coding RNA (2074 nucleotides) under Ananas comosus (pineapple). RNAcentral's name for it is "long non-coding RNA (ACOM_LNC040698)". Lineage: Eukaryota; Viridiplantae; Streptophyta; Magnoliopsida; Poales; Bromeliaceae. The record is from RNAcentral.